This 72-nucleotide transfer RNA is filed under the name Diaphorina citri (Asian citrus psyllid). It matches the Rfam family "tRNA". Rfam says of the family: Transfer RNA (tRNA) molecules are approximately 80 nucleotides in length. Their secondary structure includes four short double-helical elements and three loops (D, anti-codon, and T loops). Further hydrogen bonds mediate the characteristic L-shaped molecular structure. tRNAs have two regions of fundamental functional importance: the anti-codon, which is responsible for specific mRNA codon recognition, and the 3' end, to which the tRNAs corresponding amino acid is attached (by aminoacyl-tRNA synthetases). tRNAs cope with the degeneracy of the genetic code in two manners: having more than one tRNA (with a specific anti-codon) for a particular amino acid; and 'wobble' base-pairing, i.e. permitting non-standard base-pairing at the 3rd anti-codon position. The record is from Rfam by way of RNAcentral. Lineage: Eukaryota; Metazoa; Arthropoda; Insecta; Hemiptera; Psyllidae.
GCCUAGUUAGCUUAGUUGGUGCGCGUCUGCCUUGUAAGCGCUAGGCCGCGGGUUCGAUUCCCGCCCGGGGCG